AUUCUUGUAGUUGAAUCAACAACAGUUUUUCAGAUUGUAGGUCUAGGUUAAAAUCCUAGUGGGAAUG
RNAcentral lists this transfer RNA (67 nucleotides) under Xenorhina sp. TNHC-GDC 31177. RNAcentral's name for it is "tRNA-Glu". It matches the Rfam family "tRNA". Rfam says of the family: Transfer RNA (tRNA) molecules are approximately 80 nucleotides in length. Lineage: Eukaryota; Metazoa; Chordata; Amphibia; Anura; Microhylidae. The record is from RNAcentral.